CAAGACGAAAAGACCCCGGAACCUUUACUGUAUUCUGGUAUUGGAUUUUGGUCCCAUAUGUGUAGCAUAGGUGGGAGGCUUUGAAGGUGAGGCGCUAGCUUUGCCAGAGCCGCAAUGUGAAAUACCACCCUUAUUGUACUAAGAUUCUAACUGCGUGCCGUGAAUCCGGCCGCAAGACAGUGCCAGAUGGUCAGUUUGACUGGGGCGGUUCCCUCCUAAAGUGUAACGGCGGGGCCCAAAGGUUCCUUCAGGCUGGUUGGCAAUCAGCUGUUGAGUGUAAAAGCAUAAAGGAGCUUGACUGCGAGUCCGACAGGACAAGCAGGUACGAAAGUAGGGUUUAGUGAUCCGGUGGUUGAAAAUGGGAUUGCCAUCGCUCAACGAAUAAUAGGUACUCCGGGGAUAACAGGCUUAUAGGGCUCGAGAGUUCAUAUCGACAGCCCUGUUUGGCACCUCGAUGUCGGCUCAUCCUAUCCUGGGGCUGGAUAAGGUCCCAAGGGUCCGGCUGUUCGCCGGUUAAAAGGGUACGCGAGCUGGGUUCAGAACGUCGUGAGACAGUUAAAUGACCGUUAGCUGUCUAUAAAUCUGGCUAUAUGCUGGAAAAUCUGGGUAUCUCAUAUUACUACUUGACGAUAAGUCUCUAUAAUAUAAGAUGUCGUUAAGGAGUGAAAAUAUAUGAGUGCAGAUAAUCAGCAGGAAAGGCCAAGCGGGAUAGCAUCUUACUAUAUUACCGGCUUUGUUGAUGGAGAAGGUUGCUUUUCCAUAACUAUUCAGAAAAGCAAAAAUGUGAAGUUAGGAAUUCAGGUUAUUCCGGAAUUUCAUGUUUCACAACAUCAAAAUAGAACUGAGGUUAUAAAAGCGAUUCAGGACAAGUUUGGUUGCGGUUAUAUUAAACCAAAUAAUUCACCGAAUCCUAAAGAUUUAACAUCGGUCUAUGUUGUGCGUAAUUUGAAAGAUCUCCAAGAUAAAGUUGUGCCAUUCUUUCACAGCUAUCCUUUGAUUUCAUCAAAACGUCAUGAUUUUGCGAAAUUUGCUAAAGUGAUAGACUUGAUGAGUCAGGGAGAGCACUUAAAAAAGAAUGGAUUAAUUACGAUAUUAAAAUUAGCGUUUUCAAUGAACGCCGGCGGUAAAUAUCGUAAAUUAAGAUUAGAAGAUGUGUUGUCUAGUUUGGAAUCCUCAGAGACUGUACGCCAGAAACCUGUCUAAUGUAGGUAGGUAUAUGAUACAGUCCGAACUGCAUAGCGAUAUGCAGAGGUUAAUAGAAAUAUUAAUCCCUCUAUAAAUUUUAGAGUGUAACAGAAUUGUCGGUCUCUAUCUGCUGUGGGCGUUAAGAUAUUUGAAGAGGAGCUCUUCCUAGUACGAGAGGACCGGGAGAGACGAACCUCUGGUGUUCCAGUUGUCCUGCCAAGGGCAAAGGCUGGGUAGCUAUGUUCGGAAGGGAUAAGCGCUGAAGGCAUAUAAGCGCCAAGCCCACCUCAAGAAUUGAUAUCUCUUCCGUCGCAAGACGGAUGAAGGCUGGUUGUAGACUACGACCUUGAUAGGCUCCAUGCGUAAGGCCCGUAAGGGUUUUAACUAAGGAGUACUAAUUAGCCAAUCGGCUUGACCA
This 1603-nucleotide ribosomal RNA is filed under the name Candidatus Ghiorseimicrobium undicola. RNAcentral's name for it is "bacterial LSU rRNA". It matches the Rfam family "Bacterial large subunit ribosomal RNA", at positions 2076 to 2923 of the family's 2925-position model. The record is from RNAcentral. Lineage: Bacteria; Pseudomonadati; Candidatus Omnitrophota.